GACGAACGCUGGCGGCGUGCUUAACACAUGCAAGUCGAACGGAAAGGCCCUGCUUUUGUGGGGUGCUCGAGUGGCGAACGGGUGAGUAACACGUGAGUAACCUGCCCUUGACUUUGGGAUAACUUCAGGAAACUGGGGCUAAUACCGGAUAGGAGCUCCUGCUGCAUGGUGGGGGUUGGAAAGUUUCGGCGGUUGGGGAUGGACUCGCGGCUUAUCAGCUUGUUGGUGGGGUAGUGGCUUACCAAGGCUUUGACGGGUAGCCGGCCUGAGAGGGUGACCGGCAUCAUGGGGGCUGGGUUAGCGCCCAGUCCACUAGGGGGGGGGGGGGGGGGGAAUUUGAGACAGGGGGGGAAAGCCUGAUGCAGCACCGCCGCGUGGGGGGGGAGGGCCGUCGGGUGGUACCCGGCUUCCGCCUGGGAAAGGGCGAGGGGGAGGGUAAGGGAUAAAAAAACCCCGGCUACCUACGUG
Molecule: ribosomal RNA, 468 nt
Filed under: uncultured bacterium
Lineage: Bacteria
Description: partial 16S ribosomal RNA
Rfam family: Bacterial small subunit ribosomal RNA
Source: RNAcentral